Non-coding RNA from Angiostrongylus costaricensis, 72 nucleotides. Lineage: Eukaryota; Metazoa; Nematoda; Chromadorea; Rhabditida; Metastrongylidae. The record is from Rfam.
GGGGGUAGAGCUCAGGCAAUGAGCGCUCGCUUCGCAUGCGAGAAGUAAUGGGUUCGAUUCCCCAUACCUCCG